GUGUCAGCAGCCGCGGUAAUACGUAGGGUGCGAGCGUUAAUCGGAAUUACUGGGCGUAAAGCGUGCGCAGGCGGUUUUGUAAGACAGAUGUGAAAUCCCCGGGCUUAACCUGGGAACUGCGUUUGUGACUGCAAGACUCGAGUGUGGCAGAGGGGGGUGGAAUUCCACGUGUAGCAGUGAAAUGCGUAGAGAUGUGGAGGAACACCGAUGGCGAAGGCAGCCCCCUGGGUUAACACUGACGCUCAUGCACGAAAGCGUGGGUAGCAAACAGGAUUAGAUACCCUGGUAGUCCACGCCCUAAACGAUGCGAACUAGGUGUUGGAGAAGGAGACUUCUUUAGUACCGCAGCUAACGCGUGAAGUUCGCCGCCUGGGGAGUACGGUCGCAAGAUUAAA
This 395-nucleotide ribosomal RNA is filed under the name uncultured bacterium. RNAcentral's name for it is "bacterial SSU rRNA". It matches the Rfam family "Bacterial small subunit ribosomal RNA", at positions 505 to 898 of the family's 1533-position model. The record is from RNAcentral.